NNNNNNNNNNNNNNNNNNNNNNNNNNNNNNNNNNNNNNNNNNNNNNNNNNNNNNNNNNNNNNNNNUGGGACGCGCGGGCGCGGGGCCCCGGGGCUCGGCGCGCGUCACAGUGGUGCGCGCUUCCGUCUGGCGCGGCCCCCGGGCGGCCCAGGCUGGGUCCUGAGCGUCCCGAGCGCGUUCCGGAAAGGUGACUCAGCGACGCGCUCCAGGGUCGAGAAACUCCGCAAAACUAAGAACAAGUGAAGGCUGCGGUCGAAGCCUGGAUUAGGCGCCUGGAAAACGCGGGACGCGGGGCGGUGCUCCCCGAGAGCUCAGCCUUGGAGGGAGGUAGCUGCGGAGAAGGCCAGGGCAGCCUCCCCUGUCCCCCGCUCGGGAGAGCAAUCAGGCCCGAAGAGCCGCCGCUUUAAACCUUGGAGUCUGGUGGGAAACUGAGGCACAGGGAAGGGAAGACCUGGCCGUGCAGGAGUGCGUGAGUGAAAAAGCAAUAAUCGACAGUGCCUGGCACCAGCUCUCUGGAAACUUGGAGCCAAGGCCGCCAGAUGGCAAGUGACUGGCUUUUAUUAGGAUAGGAUUCCCGCCAUCCCACCGGUCCCCGAAGUAGUCUCCACCCACCCUCCCCAGAGGUUUCAGCUCCCAAGCCGAAUUCCAGAGCCUCCAGGCCUCUCUUGACCUUGACUCCUUGCUCCCCAGGAGGCUGUCAGAGCAGGGAAGGGAGGUGACCGGCCUGCCAACUGCUCUGCAGACUCGUGUUCUCCCACAGCCCCAGGGAGUGUUCGGAGUUUCUGUUUCUGCGGUGGCUCAUCGAUUCUGGGCGUGUGGUGCGGUCCGCUUCGCUCUGCCUUCUGCAUGGCCUCCUCGUCGUCCUGGGUUUCCUUGCUGCGGCUUAUCUGGGCUCUGCCUUCCUCCCUCACCUGCAGGCCUGCCCAUUCUAGCUGUUGAUUCUAGCUUAGCCUCCUGGAGCCUCCUCCAGGGAGCAGCCCUCGGGCCACCAGCAGUCCACUCACUUCUGAUGCCUGCCCAGCCGCUGAAGGCCAUCCUAGGUCACAAGUCUCAGAUGGAUCAGCGGAGCUGCACUGCCCCACCUGCUCAACCUCUGGAGACCACCUGGGUUGUUUGGCUCAGGACCCUUCCUUCGUUCCAAAGUCAGCAGCACGGGACUUCAGAUCUGUCUGACUUUUCCUUCCCCCGUUGUCUCUCUGAUUUUCUUACCUCCCUCUUCCUCUUAGGAACCCUUGAUUGCACUGGCCCCACACAGAUAAUCCAGGGUAAUCUCACCCUUCUAGAGCUUUAAUGUAGGGCUUCCUAAACCUCCUCAAAGUCCCCUUUGCCAUAUAAGGUCACCAAUUCACUGGUGCCAGGGAUUAUGACCUGGACAUUUGAGGGGCUGUUACUCUGCCGGCCACGGAUAGAGAAAUGAAGGCUAGAAACUGUGUCCUUUCUUGGCUGCAGAACUUUAUUUCAUUUUAUUCAAGAUUUUAUUUAUUUGAGAUAGAGAGCAUACAAGUGGGGGCAGGGCAGAGGGAGAGGCAGAAGCAGUUUCCCCGCUGAGCAGGGCCUCCAUCCACCCAGGCAUCUGGGCCACAGAACUUUCUGACCUUCCCCACCUCCCGAGCCCUACCAAGUGAAUGCAAACCGGAGCUUGCUUUCCCCCAAAUUAGCACCUGUCAUGUGGAGGUGAAAAUAUUUUUGCUAGCAUCAACACGUGAUUCUGUCGACUUUGUGGGUAGAGGUCCCUACGGGGAAAAAAA
Molecule: long non-coding RNA, 1748 nt
Filed under: Mustela putorius furo (domestic ferret)
Lineage: Eukaryota; Metazoa; Chordata; Mammalia; Carnivora; Mustelidae
Description: lncRNA (ENSMPUG00000030737.1)
Source: RNAcentral